AUGGCCCCUAGCAACGCAAGUGUGUGUACGCGGCGAAAACAGUCCACCUCUAUCUACUGUUGCGUGUGCGGAUGUCACAACAGCUACAAGAACACGGCAGGGAAACUGCCGAAGGUGCAGUUUUAUCAUUUUCCUUGGAAAUCGUACGAGGCUGAUCGGCGACAACGUUGGAUCGCUGCCGUUCGGCUCACCCGCCCCAAUGGAAAUUUGCGGCAACCAGUGCGACGCAAGACAGACAUCUGCAGUGCUCACUUUGUCGGUAACAAAGCGAGCACGAUUGCCGGCCAUCCCGCCUAUGUGCCAACUGUGUUUCCGCCGUGUUACAGAAGAAGUGAUGCAGUACUACCGGCAUCAAAGGUCGACAGAUAUUAGAGGAUUCAGCGACGUCGCGCAGUGCUUCAAGCGCCGACAUCCAAGAGCGCGAUCACGGCGACUACGGGUUCCUUUGAGAACUCCUCGACUGACUUCGCCGACGAAAUCAUUGCAUCACCGGAAGAAACGGGCACAUCCGCAUCCGUGAUGACCCAGACAGAUGCAGAUUUUAACGGAGGUGUUUGCACUCUGUUCCUCUCUGUGACAGCAGAAGGCGCCGCAUCUACAUAAGUUUGCCAUACAAACAUUGUUGAGAAAGGUGUACAAGCAAGUGCCUCUGUGAGAUCGAGAGCUAUUGGACCGAACGAGCGCAGCUGUGCAUUUCUUGGCUGCAAUUAUCUGAUCCUGAGAAAGGAUGCCUUUCGUGAACUAUGCGGCGUUAGCGCAAACGUCUUUUCUCUGUUAUUGUCUGUGCUUUGAACCAUUGCUGUGAGAGAAGUGGACGUGCCGAUUUCCCAGAAGUUGUCCAUAUUCCUGAUGAAGAUGAAGGUGGGCGUUUCAAUCGCCAGCA
This 883-nucleotide long non-coding RNA is filed under the name Dermacentor andersoni. RNAcentral's name for it is "uncharacterized LOC126516952". Lineage: Eukaryota; Metazoa; Arthropoda; Arachnida; Ixodida; Ixodidae. The record is from RNAcentral.